UACGUAGGGAGCAAGCGUUGUCCGGAAUCAUUGGGCGUAAAGCGCGCGUAGGUGGCCCUGUAAGUCCGUUGUGAAAGCCCUGGGCUCAACCUGGGAAUUGCAGUGGAUACUGGCAAGCUAGAGUGCGGUAGAGGAUGGUGGAAUUCCCGGUGUAGCGGUGAAAUGCGUAGAGAUCGGGAGGAACACCUGUGGCGAAGGCGGCCAUCUGGACCAGCACUGACGCUGAGGCACGAAAGCGUGGGGAGCAAACAGG
This 253-nucleotide ribosomal RNA is filed under the name uncultured bacterium. Its description in RNAcentral is "partial 16S ribosomal RNA". It matches the Rfam family "Bacterial small subunit ribosomal RNA", at positions 524 to 776 of the family's 1533-position model. The record is from RNAcentral.